Molecule: long non-coding RNA, 1296 nt
Organism: Homo sapiens (human)
Lineage: Eukaryota; Metazoa; Chordata; Mammalia; Primates; Hominidae
Source: Ensembl
CAACCGCGCCCCCCGCGCACGGACCCCCAUUACACUCGCGUCCCAGGCGGGGUCGACCCAGACGAGCCACGGGGCGGCGCAGAGCCCCACUCGCAGGGCGGCCGGGACCCACGCGCGUGGGUCCACGCAACAACCUAUAGGUGACAAAACACUCAGGAAGCCGUCAUGCGGGGCCAAGAAAGAGCCCCCAUCCAGAGUCACGGACCCCCUCGUCCGAGGGUCCGCGCAGUCCCCUCGGUAAGUCGGACGAAGCAGUCUCGCUACGGGGGAGGGCGGCGGAGCCUCCCACUCUUGGUGACCCGGACCCCGCCCCACGAGUGGGUCUUCGCAGGGCCCCCUCUGACGCACACGGGGACCAGCCACGCCGCGGGGGCACCGGGCAGGAGCCAGCGCCCGGGUCCACGCAGUCCCCUCCGGGCAGACGCGGGGAGCUGGGGAGCAGUGGGGACCGGCCCCCACCCGCAGGACGACCGGGACCCCCGCGCGGGCCCACGCGGCGUCGCAGCAGGCGCGGAGCCCCCGGUACCACCCGAGGCCGAGACAAAGCCCAGGCGCACGGACCCCGGACCCUGCGGAGCCCCGCUCGGAGCUUCCACGCCCGGGGCAGAGACCCCCGCCGGGUCCGGAGACCCUGCCGCCAGUCGCGCCGUCUCACCUCAGGCCGCCACCUCGCAGCGCUCGCUCCUCGCCGCGGCGCCUGGGCCGACUGGAGCGCAGCUGAACAGCCGACAGAGCCGCAGCCGCCUUAACAAUGGAGCCCCGGGGCGGGGCCGCCGCCGCCGCCUCAGCCCGUGUACCCCGCUCGAGAUCCGGCUCGGCUCGCGGAGCUGCAGCCGGCGUGGGGCUGCGGCCGGGACAGACACCACGCAGGCGCACACGGCCCCGCCCGCCGCCCGCCGUCCCGCCCCCAGCGGAGCCGGGCGCCCAGGGCCCGCCCCCCGGCCAAUGGGAAGCGAGCUGCGCGGAGUGGGCGGGGCCUGAGGGAACAAAGGGAGGUUGGGCGGGGCGGUGCUGGGACUGGGCUUGCGGGGUCCCGCGGGAGGACCCGCCUCAAAGAGCCGGCCCGAUCAUCGCCUCCUAGAAUACCCAGCUCAACGUCUACCUGGAGUCGGCUCUACAGGACGCGCUCAUCUCAAACCCAGAGCUCAGGCUUUUAGGGCAGAGAGCGAGAGAAAGGCUUGCUUUACAGAAAGGGAAACUGAGGUCCAAGGAAUAGGAUUGCCUGCCGCUCGAAGAAACGUAAUCCCAUUCACUCGUUCAUCUUGUAGUCAUUCAGCAAACAUUUGGAAGCACGUA